This is a non-coding RNA of Vicugna pacos (alpaca), 236 nucleotides long. Lineage: Eukaryota; Metazoa; Chordata; Mammalia; Artiodactyla; Camelidae. The record is from RefSeq and is a predicted model, not a curated record.
AGAGAGAGAAGAAAGAGUGGACUUGGCCACAUUCAUUACAUCAAUGAAGAAAAGAAUCUUACUUCUUAAAAAAAAAUUAGUCAAGACAGGGUUAGGGGGUAGGGCGGGGGUCAGUAAAGAGUGACAGUCUUAGUGGAGUUUGUGUCAUGUGAACUGCCUAUCAAUCUUAGUAACUUUACUGGACACCACCUUCAUUAAACUGAAGCACUGUGGACUCUGAGACAUCAGAAGAGCAC